This 253-nucleotide ribosomal RNA is filed under the name uncultured bacterium. Its description in RNAcentral is "partial 16S ribosomal RNA". It matches the Rfam family "Bacterial small subunit ribosomal RNA", at positions 524 to 776 of the family's 1533-position model. The record is from RNAcentral.
UACGAAGGGGGCUAGCGUUGCUCGGAAUGACUGGGCGUAAAGGGCGCGUAGGCGGAUGACACAGUCAGAUGUGAAAUUCCCGGGCUUAACCUGGGGGCUGCAUUUGAUACGUGUUGUCUGGAGUGAGGAAGAGGGUUGUGGAAUUCCCAGUGUAGAGGUGAAAUUCGUAGAUAUUGGGAAGAACACCGGUGGCGAAGGCGGCAACCUGGUCCUUGACUGACGCUGAGGCGCGAAAGCGUGGGGAGCAAACAGG